This 199-nucleotide non-coding RNA is filed under the name human gut metagenome. RNAcentral's name for it is "raiA RNA". It matches the Rfam family "raiA RNA". The record is from RNAcentral.
UCCGGGUCUGUGGUUGCAAGCCGAUGCCAGACGCGGGCAAAGCGGUCCACGUAAACCGGGCAAAGCCCGGCGAGCAUGGCGCGUUCUAGUGGUAAGUCCGACCGCCGGAACUUCGGCGAGAGAGGGCGAGUAGGGCGCAGAAGCGAUGAGCGGACCCUCCUGUCGGCGAGUGUGGGGUCAAAGACCAGGUCAGCCGGGU